CUUUUUUCGCAGGAGCUGCCCUACACUUUGCACAGACCUGGGCUCUUCCCAGAUUACCUCAUCAACAUCUUUACAAGCCAACUCAGAGAGUGCAGCAACCCUGUAGAUGGACUGCUUCACCCAGUGCUGCUGGUUCUUAUGGCUGUCACUCCCAAUGGGUAGUUUUAUUGCCAAAUUCCAUCAUAAGCAGUACUACCCAUACCCUGACCAAAGAAGGAAAGGGGAAUUAACACGACCACCUGCCUACUGAAUGCCAGGCGCUGUGCUAAAUGUGAGACUUUGAUGUCUUCAAAGCAAGGCGAGUGAGUGGCACUCUUCAGACAAGAAGGAAGAUGGCAGGUGAAAUCAUCUUCUUCUAAUGAGCCCUGUGCUAUGCUUGCUGAUGUCCUUGGUCACGGAGAUUUUCAGAAAAGCCAUGGCCUUACCAGUGAAGGUUACACAGAGGCCACUGGAGUCAAGUAAUUCAUUGCUCCUUAUUACAUUUAGGCACUUCUUUAUCCAUCAUGCAGGCUAUUGGGAUUAAAAUGGGUCCUUUCAACAAUGAGUCAAUAUUGAAGAUUCUGUGGAUCCAUUUAUUGACACAUAUUGGGUAUUCUCUGGACACAUUCCUUAACUUCAAAACUGUUUCUUGGACAUUGUGCUAGGUGCUAAGGAAACACAAAUGGAAGGUAUAAUUCUUGUCUUCUGGGUGUUCACUGUUGGGUCUGAUGCCAUACAACUAUUGUGAACACACGAGGGAAGUGUAAGCUGUGGUUCUUGCCCUCAGCCUGAGGAGCACAGUCCCUGAGGUGGAAGGGUCUCCAGAUGACAGCAGUGUCCAUGCCUUAUUUACCCUUGAUUUCCAGCACCUGCCUCCUGCCCAGCACAGUUGGGCCCCAAACCUGAUCACUGACGGGGUUGCUCUGGACCAGCCCAUCACUCAAUGCAGAGCUUCCUUCCAGUGUUUGGUGUCUGCUUGAGGAUGUGGAGAUAUGAGGGCCUCUCUCCCACUCCUGCAGCCCAUUCCAUUGUUGCUUCACACUGAUUACUAAGAGAUUUCCCUGCCUGCCUUGUAACCUGACCAACAAACCCAGAUUCUGCCCUCGGGAGUUACCCGAACUAAAACACUAUACAGACUAAAUC
This 1122-nucleotide long non-coding RNA is filed under the name Homo sapiens (human). RNAcentral's name for it is "HSALNT0065827". The record is from RNAcentral. Lineage: Eukaryota; Metazoa; Chordata; Mammalia; Primates; Hominidae.